GGAUGUUAGCGGCGGACGGGUGAGUAACACGUGGGUAACCUGCCUGUAAGACUGGGAUAACUCCGGGAAACCGGAGCUAAUACCGGAUAGUUCCUUGAACCGCAUGGUUCAAGGAUGAAAGACGGUUUCGGCUGUCACUUACAGAUGGACCCGCGGCGCAUUAGCUAGUUGGUGAGGUAACGGCUCACCAAGGCGACGAUGCGUAGCCGACCUGAGAGGGUGAUCGGCCACACUGGGACUGAGACACGGCCCAGACUCCUACGGGAGGCAGCAGUGGUCA
Molecule: ribosomal RNA, 280 nt
Filed under: Bacillus sp. UT1.1
Lineage: Bacteria; Bacillati; Bacillota; Bacilli; Caryophanales; Bacillaceae
Description: partial 16S ribosomal RNA
Rfam family: Bacterial small subunit ribosomal RNA
Source: RNAcentral